UAUGCCGUUAUUGCAGAUAAAUUGAUGCCUAUUUUUCCAUAACUAAAAAGCCGCCACGUGUCCCGAGACCUGGCAACUCCACCUUCCCCAAACUCCAAACCUUUCCUCCCACCCUCGCCCUCUCUCCACAGCUCCGCCUCUCUCUCUCUCAUCAAUUUAUCACCAAAUCCCUCUAAUUUCAUCCCUUUUGGCCCCCUAGAUAUAUUUCCAUGAAUUAGGGAUUAUAUAUCGCCCAACAGAUACUUCCGCCUCUCAGUCCCUUUUCUUAUUUUUUUCCUCGCCGGUUUUUUUUCUUAUUUUUUUUGAGAGAGAGCGCACUAUUUUACGACCCUUUUUUAUUAUUAUUAUUUAUGAUUAGUUUUUGAUUGAAGGAGGGUUACGAGGGAUCCACAAGGGUUGGGGGAUUUUCUGGGGUUUUCUUGAAUUUUGGGUUUUGAGAAAAAAAAAAUUCAGGGCUCUGGUGUUGUUGGAAUCCCCUGUUAUCAGGUAAAUCUGAUGUUUGUGUAUUUUCGAUUUCAUGCGUUUCUGAAUCUGGAUUUGUUAGGUUUGCUCGGAAAGCUCAAUUAUUUGGCUGAAAAGUUUGUUAUUUUGGGAUGAAUGCGUGUGACGGUGCGGAUUUCGGUGUUGCUAUUGGCCUAAUUGAAUUUUUGAAUGGUUUAAAUGUUUUCGUAACUCCUUAACUGUUAAGAUUUGGCCUUUUCUUGAUAAGUUCUUGUUGCAAACGAUUUGAGCUGUUUAGUGCAAGAAGUUGGUGGACCUUGAACGAGGGCUUUAGGAUUGGGAUUGGGAGCAAACGAGUGUUUUGAGACAUCAAUGUGUAUAUUUGAGGGGGUGAAGAUUUGAGCGAAGUAGAAUUUGGGACUACCCGAUAUAAGUGAUCAACAACUGCCAGCCUUGUCCUUGAUGGAUAGCCCUACAAUGAUCCCGGCAUGCGUCCUGAGUUCUGACGAAAGUCAGCGUGUUAAAUUCUUAUGUAGUUUCAGUGGUAGUAUACUGCCUCGCCCCCAAGAUGGGAAGCUUAGAUAUGUUGGAGGUGAGACACGGAUUGUGAGUGUUCCGCGUGAUAUAACUUAUGAAGAGCUCAUGGGGAAGAUGAGGGAGCUUUACGAGGGUGUAACUGUGCUGAAAUACCAGCAGCCGGAUGAAGAUCUCGAUGCUCUUGUAUCUGUUGUAAACGACGAUGAUGUCACUAAUAUGAUGGAGGAGUACGAUAAGUUGGGAUCGGCGGAUGGGUUUACUAGGUUGAGAAUAUUUUUGUUUGCCCAUCCUGAUCAAGAUGGUUCUUUACAUUUCGGAGAUGGAGAUGAAAGGGACAAUGAGAGGAGGUAUGUGGAUGCCUUGAAUAGCCUUAAUGAUUCUCCCGACUCGAGGAAGCCACUAGGUGAGUCGAUCCUAGUUGGAUCAUUAGAUGAUGUCCAGGCUGCUGAGCAAUACAUUAAUCAGAUGAAUCUAGACGGCAGUGUCCACAACCAGAGAAACAUGGAAUUACCAAUGGCUCAGAUGAAUCUGCGGCAUCUGACAAUUCCUCAUCUAGGGUCAGGGCAACUCCAGCAAGCAGUUAAUCAAAGGUAUAAUGAAAUGGAGGCUCCAUGGAGUCCUGCUUAUUACUCUCCUCGACAACCUGUAGAUCAGAGACCAGUUGCUGAAUUUCCUACUUCACCUUCAUCAUCUCGUUAUCGAACACCAUAUGGGGAAUUUGAUAGAGUACCUGAGGAUUAUAACCGACCUCCUAUCAAUAAUCAUUCUAUUUACGAGCAACAGCCACAGUAUGCAGACAAUGUGGUGCUGAUUCCAGCUGGCUCUGUAGUCAAUGAGAAGGCUGGUUUUGUAGGCAACAUGCUCCAAGGGUCCAAUGUCUAUGAAGGCAAUAGUGUUUGUGAUCAUUGCCGGAUGCCAUUUCAAAGAAAUCAAAUUUAUCCUGAUUCUUCUUGGAAGCCUGGUGAGCAGUCGCAUCUAGAGCCAACAAACAUGGGAAAUGGAUAUCUUCAAAUCCCUAAUUCUUGUGCCGAGUGCCCUCGAAACCGAGACGUAUACAUGUUGAAUUCGGACGGGAACCUGAACCCUCCAUACUACUGCAGGGAACCAAACGAUCCUCGGUCAGUGUAUUCCGAAACCCAUGGUCAUGAAAGAGGAUGGGUUUCGCCACAUCAGCCAAAUCCUUGGGCUGAGGAACCGAGACCACAGUUAUCUGUAUCUGUGUCUGGAAGGUUAGCUGAUAGUUACAUUGUAGACAAUGGGAUGAAUGUUCCACUCGGGCAUGGUAAUGUAUGUGAUGGACACCAUGUGCAAUCACACUACAUCCAUCAUGAUGAUCAACGCUAUGCUCGUCCUGGAGUUGACUAUGGCAGUCAAGGGUUUCAGGAUCAAGCAGCAGCAACAGGGUCACAGGUCCAUUUGCCAUCCGCAGAGGAGCGCAGUGUUCGCUUUGGAAAUGCUCCCUAUACAUAUGGUACUGAUAAUGUAUACCAGGUUCCUCAUGGUCAGAUUCCUACACAACCUCUGUGGAGAAAUGUUCAUAGCCCAUUGCAGGGUGGUCCCUCUUAUGAAACACCUGCUUCUUCUCAGCUAGUUAAUGGCUCUGUUCCCAUGGGAUUCAUUCGUGGUGCUCUGGAGGGAAGUCCCAGGGUGAGAACUGGUUUAGAGAACCAGAGCCCCUGGGCAGCGGAAUCAUCACACAAAGUUGUCGGCUAUGAUAGUUCUCUCAUGUCAGACUUUCCUCAUCUCCCGGCUGUGAAAUUUCCUCCUAACGCCUACGCUUUGGAGAAUCACCAUCCAUGUAAUGUGGAAUCUGUCCCAUCAGCAGCUGUGUUGGCUACACCAUUUACUUCUAAAGAUCCAUUUCCUAAGUCGGAUCCGGUCUUACUUGUUGAUGAUGCAUCAGUGACUACGAAUGUUGCUGCUUCUGGAAUUGAUUCCCGGAGUGGCAGUGAAACUAAUAAAUCAGCUAUCAUGAAUGAGAAUGGUGCAUUUGAAGGGAGCAAAGAGAAAAAUAAUGGAGGGGUGGCCAAAGACUCUUGUGUUCGUGCGUCAAUUGACAAGAAUUCAGAUGCUUUAGCUUCAUCCAUAGUCAUAAGUUCUGAUGUUCCAAAGUCUGCUGUUGAAAAUGGUGAUGCUUUAAAUGGUGAUGAAACUAAUGCUGGUGCUCCUGAGCAGCAAGAUGACAGAUUAGAAUUCUUGCCCGAGUUAAUUGCAUCCGUGAAGGAGGCUGCUUUACAGAGUUUGAAGGAGGUCAAAGAUAAAGUUCGAGUAGACUCUGAUUUUGGCAGUGUGCAUGAUGCUGAUACUGAGGAUGCUCGAAACCACAAAGAUGGAAUGGAUGGCAACAUGGAGUUGGAGGUAGAUUCUGAUAAUGACAAUGUUGACCAUUCCAAGAUAGAGAUGACAAAAGCUGAGACAGAAGCACUUGAUCGAGGAUUGCAGACAAUAAGAAAUGAAGAUCUAGAGGAAAUUCGGGAACUUGGUUCUGGAACUUACGGUGCUGUAUUCCAUGGGAAGUGGAAAGGAUCGGAUGUAGCCAUCAAAAGAAUAAAAGCCAGCUGCUUUGCUGGAAGACCAUCUGAAAGGGAACGUCUGAUUGCUGAUUUCUGGAAAGAAGCUCUGAUACUAAGUUCAUUGCACCAUCCAAAUGUUGUCUCUUUCUAUGGAGUGGUUCGUGAUGGCCCCGACGGAUCUUUAGCAACUGUGACAGAGUUCAUGGUUAAUGGAUCUUUGAAACAAUUUCUUCAGAAAAAGGACAGAACAAUUGAUAGACGUAAGAGACUCAUAAUUGCAAUGGAUGCUGCAUUUGGUAUGGAAUACCUGCAUGGAAAAAAUAUUGUUCAUUUUGACCUAAAAUGUGAAAAUCUGCUGGUAAACAUGAGAGACCCACAUCGUCCAGUUUGCAAGAUUGGCGACCUGGGGUUAUCAAAGGUAAAACAACAUACUUUAGUGUCGGGAGGUGUUCGUGGGACAUUACCGUGGAUGGCACCUGAACUCCUGAGUGGAAAGAGUAACAUGGUGACGGAAAAGAUCGAUGUUUACUCGUUUGGGAUUGUCAUGUGGGAGCUACUUACUGGUGAUGAGCCAUAUACGGAUAUGCACUGUGCUUCUAUAAUUGGAGGGAUUGUGAACAACACGUUGCGCCCACAAAUCCCUACCUGGUGUGACCCGGAAUGGAAGUCAUUGAUGGAAAGUUGCUGGGGUUCUGAUCCGGCGGAGAGGCCUUCGUUCUCAGAAAUAGCUCAGAGGUUAAGAAAUAUGGCGGCAGCAAUGAAUCUGAAAUGAUGCUUUCACUCAAGAAACUUUUUUAUACUUUUGUGGGAGUGCAAAGAUGUAGAGGGAAGUGUAUACCUCCUGAUAAUAAUCCGUAUUAUAUUACCCUCUUCGUCCAUGAAAUACAAUAAUAUUAGUGUCUUGUUUCGUGGAGCGCAAUAAACACGCCUUCACACCAUGGUAUUGCUACUGUAACAUAUGCGGAGAUCGGCCGUGUUCAAUAUCUCCAAAUUGCCACUCUGGCUAGUACGAUGUUGGAAGAUGGUGUCGCGCUUGGAUGAUGAUUCUCCCCUUCGGCCACCAGAGAUAUGUAAAUAUAUUUAAGCAAUAUGCAGUUGAACGUUCACGUUUAAUCCUCGUAUCGUGUAAAUUUCCACAAUCGUGUAAAUUCGACACCCGAUUCUCGUCUUUGGUGCUCAUCUUCUCAAGUUUUGGUAUGUAGAAGUUGGUACGUUGCCGGAGAGUGAUUUCGUUGGUUAAUAAAUUUUGUAGGAAGCAUUCUGGUGGCUUAGGAAGAUAUACACUCUUUUUCAAAGGGGGUUAGGACUGUGAUGUGAAGGCUAUUAGUAUUCCAUUACAAUUCUUGAUAUCAUCUGUGAAGACUACUAUUUUUUUUUUUCGUUUAAUUUCAAAGAGGACGUUUUUUA
Molecule: RNA transcript, 4898 nt
Organism: Salvia miltiorrhiza (redroot sage)
Lineage: Eukaryota; Viridiplantae; Streptophyta; Magnoliopsida; Lamiales; Lamiaceae
Exons: 9
Source: RefSeq, a predicted model, not a curated record